AAUUGUUCUCUAAAAACUUACUCAAUAGUUAUUACUCUAAUCUGAAAAAUUCACACAGAAAUUUUGACGUCUGCAGCAAACCCAAUGAGAACAAAUUUGAAGGGCCUGUUCCUGAUACUAUCGCCUUCUUAGUAAACCUUGAGGAAUUUUAAUAUUUUCCUAACCUUUAUGAAGCACAUAUUUCUCAACUUCAGGUAUUAAAAUGAAGAAUUUCUUUUUCUAACCCAUGAUUUCCAAUUGUAUUGACUGGCUAGCAAUUAUUGCUGAUUUGCUAGGAAUCCAUAGAGGAGAAGGUUUCUUAUUCCCAUUGUUCCAUCAUUGCAACAACCUUAAAAACCUGUAAGAGAAGUCGACUUUCUUCAUAUAUACAUCACUGAAAAUUUCAUGCUAAGCAUCUACUCCUUUCAGCUCAAAAUGCUUUCCAUAGAAUAAUUUCAGCCAGACAUUUUAGAGCCAAUAUUUUGUUUAAUUUUAAUUUUUUGGUUUAUAUGCACCUGAAAAACAUUAAAUACUUUUUUUUUUCAAAUGAUCAAUUUAUACAUGCUGCUGAUUUUUUUUAAAUUUACCCAUUCAGAUAUCUGACAGGAAAUAAGCUUAAUGGAUUGCUUCUUGUAUGGGUUGCAGACUUAACAGAAGCUAAUGUGCUAGUCUCUUUUCCUUCCUCUGUUUCUUUAUUUCUUUGUCAUUCGGGUUAGUGGGUUAGAGUCAAGUAAGUUUCUUGGGAGCAGUUCUCAUACCAGAACUUCACAAAUUUUUACAUAUUAUGUGGCAUCAUGAGUAUUAGCAGCUUUUGCCUCUUUGCUGCCCCAAAACUUGCUUACAUUGUUCUUUCCAAAUGCUCAUCCAUUACUAUGUUGCUUUGGACCCAAAAUAGUCUUAAUCCUAAACCAGUGUGGUUGCAACCGGUAAGAUUGCUUUGUUCUUCUUAAACUGCAUAUUUUAUCCCAUGAUUGCAUAUGAAUUCUCAUUGGAAUUUUCAUAAUCAUGUCAGUUUUUAAUAGAUGAAGUAUUUUUACAAUAUUUAUUGAUUAGAGUUCUACAAAUCUCAAGAGUGGAAAAUGUUUCCAGAAUUUAAGACAGAUGGUUUUUCUCGUUAAUUUGACUAAUGAUAUUAACUACUUUGAUGGUUUCCACUGUGUUUUUGCUCAGAGAUUUCUCCAAGAAUAAUUUCACAGAAUUACCCUCACAACUGAACCCCACAUCCAGAUUGUAAGGCAAACCUAAAGAAGUCGUAGCUCAAUUUCUCUAUCUGUUCAUAAAUUAUGGUGGUAAAAGGAUAGAAAUACAAUGAGAUACUUAUGAGCCUGAUACACAUGAAGAAGGAACUUCAACUUUCCAUAUAAAUGAUGAAAGCAAUUGGGGAUACAAUAGUAUGACAGCGUAAUGACUGGAUACAAAAGUUCACGAACUAAUACAGUCAAUAUACCAUUUGAAGCUCCUGUUUUGUAUAGGACAGCACACGUUGCUUCAAUAUCCUUAACCCUUCAUUUUGCUGAAAUAGCGAUGAAGGAAGAAGCAGGUCACAGAAUCAGAGGGAAGCGACUUUUUGAUGUGAUCAUUCAGGUAAUUGCCUCUGCGUCCACCCAAAAACAAAAAAGGAAAGAAAAAGUUGCUCAGUGGCUGUACUUAUAUAUGCUUAUAGCCUGAUUGUUACUAUAGGAAUAAGGACACAAAGUUGAACUGGUCCUCUUAUAUCAGUACAUCCUGGUAGUUUCUCUCCCUCCUUUAUCGUGUUACAGCUAGUGUUCCUCUCCUCAUGUCCACAUAUAUUGACGCCAUGCAUUGUUUUGUUUCUUUUGGUUCUGUUCCUAAACCUAGAAAGCCUUUCAAGAUAUUGUCGACUUUGGGUAAAGUUGCUCUUGUUGGAUCAGUAAAUCUUGUACCUAACAGAGAUGAAAUUGAUCCUGCAAAAUAUCUCAGCUCAUGAUCCGCUGACAUACUUCAUUAUUUUGACACAUUCCUUACUUGUUUCAUUUAUGUUUUGAUGCAGAACGGAAAGAUAUUGAGUCAUUGCCUGGAGGGUUUUUCAGUUUCCGGCAUAUAAAAGCUACCUUCACUUGGCUUCUGCAUGAAAAUUCUUUGAAACUAAUAACAAAAUGGUAACUCAUGUUGUACAAUGAACAGGUUCGGAGGAGCUGAGAUGUAAACUUAAUUGGACAACUAGAGUUAAAAUUUGCCAUGGAAUGGCGAAGGGAUUGGUUUAUCUUCAUGAGGAUUGCAUGCUAAAAGUUGUUCAUAGGGAUAUCAAGACAACUAACAUUCUUCUUGACAAGGAUUUCAAUGCAAAGAGAUCUGAUUUUGGAUUUGCUAAGCUUUAUGAAGGAGAGAAAACACAAGUCAUCACCAGAAUAGCAAGAACCACGUAAUGAACCUUUGUUUACCCACCUGAUUUGGUGAGCACAAUUGAGCUGCUUUCACUUAAAACUGCUAAUACUUUCCUAGCCCAUCUCCUACACUGAGGACUACCAUGUCUGAAGUUGAAAAGAUUAUCCAGGGCGAAGUCAACUAAAUUCUGCUCCAAUCCAUGCUCCUUAUUCAACUGAUGGUUUUGCCCUUGCCUAGGCCGUUGCUAGCUGCUCAUUUUCCAUGCGCUCUACUGGGAGCUUCUCCAGAGAAGAGGCAUCAAACCCUGUGAGAAGUGCAUAAUAUCUCUGCUGAUUACUCUCCCGAGAUUAUUACUGACAAGGCUGAGAGUUCACCAGCUAAGGAACUUUAGCUGCCCACUUCAUGUUCUAGAAUCUGCCCCAAAAUGUUUUACGUUUCCUUUCUAUACAAGUAUACUACCUCUAGGUUUUUAAAUUCUUAUUUUUAUGUAUAAAUUUUGCCAAACCUUAUCAUGUACAAAUGUCUGAUUUUACUUCGCAUAUAAACUUAUUUCAAUGGAAUAUUCUCAGAAAUUUAUAAUCUUUA
Hevea brasiliensis (rubber tree) is the source of this 2910-nucleotide long non-coding RNA. RefSeq lists it as uncharacterized. The transcript has 2 exons. The record is from RefSeq and is a predicted model, not a curated record. NCBI's taxonomy places the organism in Eukaryota, Viridiplantae, Streptophyta, Magnoliopsida, Malpighiales, Euphorbiaceae.